RNAcentral lists this ribosomal RNA (460 nucleotides) under uncultured bacterium. RNAcentral describes it as "partial 16S ribosomal RNA". It matches the Rfam family "Bacterial small subunit ribosomal RNA", at positions 338 to 795 of the family's 1533-position model. The record is from RNAcentral.
CCUACGGGUGGCUGCAGUGAGGAAUAUUGGUCAAUGGGCGCGAGCCUGAACCAGCCACGUCGCGUGAGGGAUGAAGGUUCUAUGGAUCGUAAACCUCUUUUAUAAGGGAAUAAAGUGUGGGACGUGUCCUAUUUUGUAUGUACCUUAUGAAUAAGGAUCGGCUAACUCCGUGCCAGCAGCCGCGGUAAUACGGCGGAUCCGAGCGUUAUCCGGAUUUGUUGGGUUUAACGGGUGCGUAGGCGGCCUUUUAAGUCAGCGGUGAAAGUCGGUGGCUCAACCAUAGAAUUGCCGUUGAAAUUGGGGGGCUUGAGUAGGUUUGAGGCAGGCGGAAGGCGUGGUGUAGCGGUGAAAUGCUUAGAAAUCACGCAGAACCCCGAUUGCGAAGGCAGCCUGCCAAGCCAUGACUGACGCUGAUGCACGAAAGCGUGGGGAUCAAACAGGAUUAGAUACCCCUGUAGUC